CGGGAAUUUUGGGCAAUGGGCGAAAGCCUGACCCAGCAACGCCGCGUGAGGGAUGAAGUAUUUCGGUAUGUAAACCUCGAAAGAAUGGGAAGAAUAAAUGACGGUACCAUUUAUAAGCUCCGGCUAACUACGUGCCAGCAGCCGUGGUAAUACGUAGGGAGCAAGCGUUGUUCGGAUUUACUGGGCGUAAAGGGCGCGUAGGCGGCGCGGUAAGUCACUUGUGAAAUCUCUGAGCUUAACUCAGAACGGCCAAGUGAUACUGCUGUGCUAGAGUGCGGAAGAGGCAACCGGAAUUCUUGGUGUAGCGGUGAAAUGCGUAGAUAUCAAGAGGAACACCUGAGGCGAAGGCGGGUUGCUGGGCCGACACUGACGCUGAUGCGCGAAAGCCAGGGG
This 393-nucleotide ribosomal RNA is filed under the name uncultured bacterium. RNAcentral's name for it is "bacterial SSU rRNA". It matches the Rfam family "Bacterial small subunit ribosomal RNA", at positions 356 to 766 of the family's 1533-position model. The record is from RNAcentral.